AAAACGACUCUCGGCAACGGAUAUCUCGGCUCUCGCAUCGAUGAAGAACGCAGCGAAAUGCGAUACUUGGUGUGAAUUGCAGAAUCCCGUGAACCAUCGAGUCUUUGAACGCAAGUUGCGCCCAAAGCCUUCGGGCUGAGGGCACGCCUGCCUGGGUGUCACGC
RNAcentral lists this ribosomal RNA (164 nucleotides) under Cathetus kerstingii. Its description in RNAcentral is "Phyllanthus kerstingii 5.8S ribosomal RNA". It matches the Rfam family "5.8S ribosomal RNA". From Rfam's summary of the family: 5.8S ribosomal RNA (5.8S rRNA) is a component of the large subunit of the eukaryotic ribosome. It is transcribed by RNA polymerase I as part of the 45S precursor that also contains 18S and 28S rRNA. Functionally, it is thought that 5.8S rRNA may be involved in ribosome translocation. Lineage: Eukaryota; Viridiplantae; Streptophyta; Magnoliopsida; Malpighiales; Phyllanthaceae. The record is from RNAcentral.